This is a non-coding RNA of Saimiri boliviensis boliviensis (Bolivian squirrel monkey), 525 nucleotides long. The record is from RefSeq and is a predicted model, not a curated record. Lineage: Eukaryota; Metazoa; Chordata; Mammalia; Primates; Cebidae.
GCUUGCAGGUCUCAGCUAUCACUAGCACACCCUGGGAUAUCAAGGGCAUCAGCACAUAGAACCAGUAAAAGGGUCUUCCCUCAGAGUGACACAUGUCAUAGAUUCAGAUUUACACAAACAAAAGCUGAGCAAAUCAUGAAAAGAGUCUCUGUUAUUUUCAACAAUAUAAUCACAGAGGAAGUGUAUUGAUUUUCUUGAACUUUUGAAAUGCAGAGGAGCCUUUAGAAUAAAGCCUUGAGCAUGAGGGGCAGACCCCUGCAUCCAACCACCACCUGACUCUGUGUGAACCAGGAACUGUUAGAAUGUCUGUGCUGUGAUAAAGGUCAUCUGCAUACAAUGUUACGAUACAGACCUCAAACCUGUAAACAUGAGGAACUUCUGCCUCUAGGUUAACUGGUUUCCCAUGGUACAGGACACAGUACACAGUCCAGGAGGCGGAGCUUCUGAGAUACCUAGAAGCAGCUUAGAGGCAAAAUGGCAAAACAAAGCAGCACCGACAAAUAAAACCAAGCUUCUCAAACUGGC